GCUGGCGGCAGGCUUAACACAUGCAAGUCGAGCGGUAGCACAGGGGAGCUUGCUCCCUGGGUGACGAGCGGCGGACGGGUGAGUAAUGUCUGGGAAACUGCCUGAUGGAGGGGGAUAACUACUGGAAACGGUAGCUAAUACCGCAUAACGUCGCAAGACCAAAGAGGGGGACCUUCGGGCCUCUUGCCAUCAGAUGUGCCCAGAUGGGAUUAGCUAGUAGGUGGGGUAAUGGCUCACCUAGGCGACGAUCCCUAGCUGGUCUGAGAGGAUGACCAGCCACACUGGAACUGAGACACGGUCCAGACUCCUACGGGAGGCAGCAGUGGGGAAUAUUGCACAAUGGGCGCAAGCCUGAUGCAGCCAUGCCGCGUGUGUGAAGAAGGCCUUCGGGUUGUAAAGCACUUUCAGCGAGGAGGAAGGUGGUGAGCUUAAUACGCUCAUCA
RNAcentral lists this ribosomal RNA (443 nucleotides) under uncultured bacterium. RNAcentral describes it as "bacterial SSU rRNA". It matches the Rfam family "Bacterial small subunit ribosomal RNA", at positions 35 to 474 of the family's 1533-position model. The record is from RNAcentral.